CCUUUGCUUGGGCUCGUCCUGAUUCUGCUCCUUUCCUUCCCCAGAAGCUGCCUUCCAGUUUACUGUGACUGCUGCACCUUCCCUGGGCAAAGCUGAUCUGAUGGAAGGAGUCUGCAGAGAGGUCUCCAAGCGAUUCAUCAAAGGCUCCUAAAACCCCCAGCCUGCCCCGCUCUAAUGGCCACAUAAUCAGAGAUGAAAGUCCAAAGAUAGACUCUUUGUGUCCAAGUGCCAUUGUGGUCUGGAGAGAAGAUCCCAGCAGAUCUAUGGCAGCAGCUCGGGGAAGAAGCC
This is a long non-coding RNA of Pogoniulus pusillus (Red-fronted tinkerbird), 288 nucleotides long. RefSeq lists it as uncharacterized. The record is from RefSeq and is a predicted model, not a curated record. The transcript has 3 exons. Lineage: Eukaryota; Metazoa; Chordata; Aves; Piciformes; Lybiidae.